Molecule: transfer RNA, 74 nt
Filed under: Allorhizobium paknamense
Lineage: Bacteria; Pseudomonadati; Pseudomonadota; Alphaproteobacteria; Hyphomicrobiales; Rhizobiaceae
Description: tRNA-Arg
Rfam family: tRNA
About the family: Transfer RNA (tRNA) molecules are approximately 80 nucleotides in length. Their secondary structure includes four short double-helical elements and three loops (D, anti-codon, and T loops).
Source: RNAcentral
GCGUCAGUAGCUCAAAGGCAGAGCAUCCGGCUUCUACCCGGAGGAUGCGGGCUCGAAACCCGUCUGGCGCUCCA